RNAcentral lists this long non-coding RNA (772 nucleotides) under Marmota monax (woodchuck). The stretch from base 1 to 72 matches the Rfam family "tRNA". Lineage: Eukaryota; Metazoa; Chordata; Mammalia; Rodentia; Sciuridae. The record is from RNAcentral.
GGGGAUUUAGCUCAGUUGGUAGAGUGCUUGCCUCACAUGCACAGGCUCUGGGUUCAAUCCCCAGCACCAUUAAAAAAUAAAUGAAUAAAAAUAACAACAAAAAAAACUAAGUUUAAAACAAUAAUGAGGAAGGAGGAAAAACACUCUAAACAGUAAUGGUCAUUUAUUUUUCUCAAGGAUCUGCUAUUUGGGCAGAGACUAGCAGGGAUGGUUCAUCUGAUCCCAGAAGUAUCAGCUGCUGAGAUUCAACUAAACUGGAGGAUCCAACUUCCAGUGGCAGCUCUUGGGUUCUAACCAGCAAAGAGACACCCUCUGGGACACAUGGGCUUCCUGACAGCAUGGAGGCUGGGCUCCAAGAACAAGGUGCAGGCUUCUUCUGACCUAGCUUGGAAGUCCCUUCUGCUGCUUUCUAUUGGCCAAACUAAGGCCAGCCCCAGUUCAAGAAGAAGAGUCAACCUCUCAAAGGGAAGAAGAGCAGAACAUGUGACCAUGUAUCACACAAGGUAAUCCCAGUUGAUUGCCACAUGGCAGCACCAAUGGCACUUGCACCCACAGAAUAUGCUCUUUAACCACACCAGUGCCUCAGGUGGGAAUUAAAGAAUACCUUGUAGCUUUAAUUUGUAUUUCCUUAAUUUCUAAGAAAUUGGACACUUUUUCAAGUGAUUAUUGGUUGUUCCCAUUUCCCCUUCUGUGAAGUGCUUUGCUCAAGUUUUUUACCCAUUGUAUUAUAGGGUACUCUGUCUCAUUUGUAGAAAUUCUUUGUAUAUUAUCC